UACAGAGGGUGCAAGCGUUAUUCGGAAUUAUUGGGCAUAAAGCGCAUGUAGGUGGUUUGGUUAGUUUGAUGUGAAAGCCCCGGACUCAAUUCGGGAAGUGCAUUGAAUACUGCCAGGCUAGAGUAUGGGAGAGGUGAGCGGAAUUCCAGGUGUAGAGGUGAAAUUCGUAGAUAUCUGGAGGAACAACAGUGGCGAAGGCGGCUCACUGGACCAUUACUGACACUGAGAUGCGAAAGCGUGGGGAGCAAACAGG
Molecule: ribosomal RNA, 253 nt
Filed under: uncultured bacterium
Lineage: Bacteria
Description: partial 16S ribosomal RNA
Rfam family: Bacterial small subunit ribosomal RNA
Source: RNAcentral